AUUACCUGGGGAACUUGUUAAAAUGCAGAUUCUGAUUUGGUAAGUCUGAAGAGUGGCCUCAGACUCUGCAUUUUUACCAAACCUCCAAGUGAUGCCAG
This is a non-coding RNA of Pongo abelii (Sumatran orangutan), 98 nucleotides long. The record is from Rfam. NCBI's taxonomy places the organism in Eukaryota, Metazoa, Chordata, Mammalia, Primates, Hominidae.